CAAAUGCAACAAUAACACUCAGACACACAUACACAAGCAAAAAUUAAUUUCGCCAACUAUUUGACAUUUAAACUAGUGACGAAGGAACGCCAACUAAAAACACUCCCUUUUUUCGGGGGUACACAAUUUUCCACAACAAACAAAGCCCAGGGAAGUCACUUGACAGAAAUUCGAAAUUAUUACUUUUUGCUGCACUUUUUCGUUUUCAGCUGUCAGACUCUCGGCCUUUUCGCAUUAAAUUGGGCAACACAACACACGAGCAAGGACCUUCACAUUCCGAAGACUGGGCAAAGACGAAAAGGACCUCCGAAAAAACCGAACCCCCAGCAGUGUGACCGGCAGUUGCGCGCUAGCAUGCACUAAAAAAUGCUGUAGCCA
Drosophila suzukii is the source of this 378-nucleotide non-coding RNA. The record is from RefSeq and is a predicted model, not a curated record. NCBI's taxonomy places the organism in Eukaryota, Metazoa, Arthropoda, Insecta, Diptera, Drosophilidae.